UUAAGCAAUGAGUGAAAAGAUAAAUUUAUGUACUUAAUUUUCAAUGGUGUUUUGUGCAAAGCUAUUGUUUAGAAUUUGAUUCGUUUUAAUCUAUUAACUGCUUACGCCUGCAUUGGGGCCCGAGCUUUACAAAGCUCGUAAGUCGAAUCAGAGAAAUAAUUUUAUCCUGAAACGUUUACAGAUACAUAUUUGUUUCAGGGACCCAUUUCAACCGCCGUAAGUCGUUUCGAGAAAUGUAAAGGACCAAGAAGAAGUGACUGCUCCGACGUGAAUCUUGAUUUGAACAACGGAAUCUCCAUCACGUAUGAUAUCUUGGUCAAAUCAUACAUCAAACUCACAACUGGUCGAAUUGUUGCAGUUUCAAACGGUAAAGAAAUGAUGAGAUUUCAGAUGAAAACGCCAUGCGAUCACUAUCUAGUUCAAUCUUUAUUCAAAAUUUAUUUAAAUGUAUCAAAAGAAUGUGCCGUUAAAAAGGGACAUUAUGUUUUCAAAAUAGAUGUUCAAGAUCUAUCGCAGAAGUACUUCAAUGGAAAUUAUUUUUACGGGAACUGGACUUUUCGUACAGUCUUCGCCGGCAGUGAAUGCAAUUUUUUGUGUGCAAUUCUGGAAGUGAUAAUGUCACCGAAAAAGGUCUAGUCUAAGUAUAUAAAAAUAUGUUUGAUUAAAAAUAUUUUCAAUGAGAUGAAACGCUACCGUUCAUUAAAUAAUUCGUUACGCCACAAAUAUUUUUUUGUAAAAAUAAUGGUUAAUGAUUUUCGGAAAUAAAAUAGCUAAAAUUUACAGUACUUACUUUAAACUGUUUAAGAUUAAUUUUAUGACUACCACAAACAUUAUGUAAGUCUUAUUCCAGUCAUUAUUUGGAAUGCAACUUUUAAAACACUUCUAAAAAUACUAUAACAUUUAAUACAUACAUAAUUAUACUUUUUUCGUCAUUGAUUGUUCUACUUAAUGAAUUCUAAUAAAUGACAUUUUAAAGAAA
This is a long non-coding RNA of Bombyx mori (domestic silkworm), 979 nucleotides long. RefSeq lists it as uncharacterized. The record is from RefSeq and is a predicted model, not a curated record. The transcript is spliced from 3 exons. Lineage: Eukaryota; Metazoa; Arthropoda; Insecta; Lepidoptera; Bombycidae.